This 494-nucleotide ribosomal RNA is filed under the name uncultured bacterium. RNAcentral's name for it is "partial 16S ribosomal RNA". It matches the Rfam family "Bacterial small subunit ribosomal RNA", at positions 28 to 507 of the family's 1533-position model. The record is from RNAcentral.
GACGAACGCUGGCGGCGCGCUUAACACAUGCAAGUCGGACGGAAAGGCCUGCUUUCCCUUGUGGAUUGCGGGUACUCGCGUGGCGAACGGGUGAGUAACACGUGAGUGAUCUGCCCCCAACUUGGGUAUAAGCCUGGGAAACUGGGUCUAAUUCCCGAUAGGACUGCAGGGUGGUGCCUGUGGUGGAAAACGAUUUUCUAGUGGUUGGGGAUGAGCUCGCGGCCUAUCAGCUUGUUGGUGGGGUAAUGGCCUACCAAGGCGGCGACGGGUAGCCGGCCUGGGAGGGUGGACGGCCACAUUGGGACUGAGAUACGGCCCAGACUCCUACGGGAGGCAGCAGUGGGGAAUAUUGCACAAUGGGCGGAAGCCUGAUGCAGCGACGCCGCGUGGGGGAUGACGGCCUUCGGGUUGUAAACUCCUUUCGACCGCGAGGAAGCCACCUGGUUGGAAGGGUGGUGACGGUAGUGGUAGAAGAAGCACCGGCUAACUACGUG